UGGGAAUAUUGGGCAAUGGGCGAAAGCCUGACCCAGCAACGCCGCGUGAGGGAAGAAGGUUUUCGGAUUGUAAACCUCUGUCCUUGGUGACGAAGGAAGUGACGGUAGCCAAGGAGGAAGCCCCGGCUAACUACGUGCCAGCAGCCGCGGUAAUACGUAGGGGGCGAGCGUUGUCCGGAAUGACUGGGCGUAAAGGGCGCGUAGGCGGCUUGGUAAGUUAGAGGUGAAAGUCCAGCUUUCAAGGUUGGAACUGCCUUUAAUACUGCUGAGCUUGAGUGCGGAAGAGGUAAGUGGAAUUCCCAGUGUAGCGGUGAAAUGCGUAGAGAUUGGGAG
RNAcentral lists this ribosomal RNA (333 nucleotides) under uncultured bacterium. Its description in RNAcentral is "bacterial SSU rRNA". It matches the Rfam family "Bacterial small subunit ribosomal RNA", at positions 356 to 703 of the family's 1533-position model. The record is from RNAcentral.